CCCAUUACUAUCUCGGACCAUCUUUGGCUUAGAUUUCUCAUUUAAAACAGGCUUAAAGUAAAAGCUAAAGAAAAACCAAGCGCCCCAGAUGCUAUCUACACGUUUCACACAUUUCCUCCCAACUUUAGGCACACUAAGAAAUGUUUCAGGUUCAUAGAUCUGGGUACCAAGCCCGACAUCAAGAAUAUCACAAUGUUCCGAGUUCCAUAGCUGAUGUUUCAGGUUCAUAGAUCUGAGUACCAAGCCCAACAUCAAGAAUAUCACAGUGUUCCGAAUUCCAUGGCUGAGGAGGCGAGCUACGCUCAGCCGAUAAGGGCAGAUUGAUGUCAGGCGGACGAGUAAUAACAACUUGGCGAUUCAUCUCGAGGUCUAAUUCAUCAUGUGAAGAUGAAGCACUUGAAUCCAUUGACAAAAGGGUUGAAGGGUGAUGAUUAUUCUCCAUUGACAAUGUUUUAAGAAGAGUAUCUACCAUUUCACAAAUUUAAUCCCUUAAAAAAAGGGACUCUAUUGCUAAAUGCUAGCUCCAAUAUUUAAGUACCCAAAUGAACUUUUUUGAUAAAGAAUUGUUCUUUACAAACAACACAUCCAUCUUGAUAAUCCCAACCACAACAUUCAGACUACCACUAAAUCCCUUUUACUUGUUCCCCUUAAAAAAGGGACUCUAUUGCUAAAUGCUAGCUCCAAUAUUUAAGUACCCAAAUGAACUUUUUUGACAAAGAAUUGUUCUUUACAAACAACACAUCCAUCUUGAUAAUCCCAACCACAACAUUCAGACUACCACUAAAUCUCUUUUACUUAUUCAUCACAUAACUACAAACCCCACAAAACCCCAAAUAGGAAAAUAGUCAAAAUAUUCAGCAACAGCUAUAAAACUCCAAAGAAAAGCUAUAAAAAUGAAAUCUCGGAAACCCCAUAGUCAUUAUUUCCCCCGAAACCUACAUAAAAACUGUAUAUUUUUGCAUCUAAUAACAGAACUAUAUGUAUUUUUUGAUUAUGUAAAAAUCAAGAAAAUUGAUAUGGGACUAAGAAAAGAGGAGAAUGCAUUACCAAUCAAUAAAGCCAAGGCCCAAGAAAAGGACUAAAUCAGAAGGGAUCUUAGAUGAGUACCUUUUAGGAUAAGCUUCAACAACUAAAAACCCACAAAUAUUUGGACACUCUGAAGAAUCAAUAGCCCUUACCAUCCUCAUAUCUUCACUUUCUACUAGUACUUGAUUUUUCACUUAUGGUUUGAAGAAUUUACACACACACACACACAGAGCAAUUACAUAGGAAUGAAGUGAAAAAGAACUCAAGUCAAGAUUACAAAGAGAGAGGAAAAAACGGGGAACACACAUAGAUGGGGAAAUUUGUUUGUGUAUUUGGUGUUUGGUGGUCACAAACAGAAAUACCCUGUGCUAGAUAACACCGUCUGAUCAGAGAGUAUUCACCGUUUAUUGAUCUAAGAACAGUUGUCACCAUUUUCACUAACGGUGACGGUGGUAUUUUGGACUGUUUGUGGGGGUAGAUAAAAAGUGGGGGACGGUAAGAGAUUGAUAUAAUUAAUUCGGGUUGGUGUUUAGU
This 1560-nucleotide long non-coding RNA is filed under the name Nicotiana benthamiana. RNAcentral describes it as "long non-coding RNA (NBEN_LNC028746)". The record is from RNAcentral. Lineage: Eukaryota; Viridiplantae; Streptophyta; Magnoliopsida; Solanales; Solanaceae.